GUUGGAAGCAUGUUCACAACCGGAAGCCAGUGAACAAUUGCACUGAGGUUCACCCCAGUCAUAUCCAGGUGCUCAACCGAAGUUAACUGGGAUAACCAGGUGAUAUCAGUGGAAUAUGUGUCUGAGUAGGAGUCAAGAUUUAGGUACCGUAAGUUGGAGAGAUUACCCAGCUGCGGUGGUAUCCUUCCAAUGAACUGUGAGCUUGAUAGGUCGAGAUAUCUCAGCUGAUGGAGAGAACCCAUGAACUCCGGUAUUUGCAUCUCAUCAAACCCGUUGUAGCUGAGGUCGAGAUACCGUAGGUGUUGUAAACGAAGCAACGAGGAGCUUAUGUUACCUGCUAGCACCUCCCUUUUCUCCCCAUAACUUCUUAUGUUGCCUCCUAGCACCUCCACAAAAUCAGGGCCUCGGAGAUCGAGCUUGACAACAUGGCCGGUUCUGUUGCUGCAGUAGACGCCCUUCCACCGGCAGCAGUCGUCACCCUUCCAAGACGAAAGGAGGUUGGCAGGGUCUGAUAGGCCUGCCCUGAAGGCAAGAAGGGCAGACCUCUCACCGGCAACACAGCUGGCGACCGCAUCGUUUGGAUGCAGGGCAGAUAAUGUGUCCUCCGUGGUGCUCUUGGCUUGAGUGAACAAGAGCAAGGCUAUGGCUAUUUGGAUGCAGGAGAAGUGAAGUGUGUCCAUUGGAGAUUUUGCCAUGUGAACAUGUGGUCUUCUUUUCUCCCGAUUCAGGUAUAUAUGUUCUUCUUGAGAGUUGAGAUAGGAGACCAAUGAGGAAUUUCAUGGAAGGCGCUGAGCGCAGUUUUUCCACAACUAGUCGGCUUGAGGGUCCACAUAUAUAGUACUAUCAUAGACUUUGGGUCUUUGGAAUUUAAUUGGAAAUCGCUGGAUGGUACUGGAGCAUCAAUUGACAACGGUGUGAAGCCAAGUGCAGAUUUUCCACAACUACUUGGCUUAAAUUUAAUGGAAGUCGCUAGAUGGUACUGGAGCCAAGUGCAGUUUUUCCACGACUACUUGGCUUGAGGGUCCAGGUAUUACUGUCAUGGACUAUGAAUUAUUGGGAAUGAAAAUUAGAAUAUAUAUGUAAUCCGAAAUGUAAAUAUUCUAAGAAUACUUACAGGACAAGUGGUGAGUUCCGUUGGUAAGAGAGAUCCCACCAUCACCCAUCUAGGGCCAAAAUCAAGAUUGAUCUGAAAGAAACAAAUCCAAAUAUUCGAGACGGAGAAUACUUACAGGACAAGAAGGAAGGCUACAGCUGGGGCAGGGGAAUGUGGAAGGGGGCGACCUUGCGAUCUGGAGGCUGGCGGUGCCGGCGACGACGACGACGGAGACGCCGUCGAGCGGAUCCGCCGGAAGAACUCUCCGUGACACGCCUCCUUCCUGCUUCCCAGCGGCUGCCCCGCCGCCUCGGCUACUCUGCCGGCGCAGGUCGGCGGGCAUGUCGGAGUGAGCAGAUCUACCCGUGCUGUCUCUUUUUGUUUUACAUAGAAAAUGCAUUAAUAUCGAUUACAACUGGCCUUUCUAUUCCAAACACAUCAAAGAUAUACUCCCUCCCUCCGUUCCUAAAUAUAAUUAAUCUUUUAAAAUUUUUGCUAAGAGACCACAUACAAAUCAAAAUGAAUGAAUCUAUAUUUUAAAAUAUGUAUAUAUACAUUCGCAUUUAGUUUUUUAAUAAAAUCUUUAAAAAAACUUAUAUUUAGAAAGGGGGAGUACACAGCUGAAAAAACAGAAGAAAUAAGACUGUCCCAGUCAUCAAUUACUAGCAUCAGCAACACUCUAACGACCCCAAAAACAAUAUCCAAAUUACGAAAAAGUUCUUCAAAACUAUGCCUUGAAUAAGGAAUAUAAUGCAUAAGCAUUGUCGUUGUUUGGUCGAAGAUCUUAGAUUUUCGUCUCAGAAAAGUUUGAAAUCAUUGAAAAACAAUGUCUUCAACAUUCAUCAAGGUUAUUGUCAAGUACAACCAAUAAAGUCAACCUUAGGCUUUUACCCUCAGAAUUGAUACUUGGUACUUGAGAAACACCAAAAAAAGCAGUCCUCGAGUGUUGUCACCCCUGCUUGCCGAGGAAGAUGAUGCAAGUAACCAAACACCUCGCACAUAGUUUUCUCCGCAUUCAAUACAUCCUUUCACCAAAGCUUCAUGACCUCCAUCUAUGCCUUAGAAAUCUUGACUUGGACAUGUCUCAUGACACAAACAAAGCUUCGCGUAGCACCCUCUUGAUGCCGUGCUGGUUGAUAAUAUGAGUGCCCAUGAUUGAAACCUUUCCAAUCUAGAUAUCCAGGGGCAACAUACAAUAAUCCAAUAGAUCUCCGACAUGAAGAUCAAAACUCGUGAGCGGUCAGAUACAAGAAUGCCGACAUCCGAUAGAAAGACGACUUGGCGAAAGAAGAGUGCUAGGGCCAAACCACCACUGUCGUGCUGCUAACUCCACCAGCCGACGACCACGGCGGAGCCGGCCGCCUGUGACACCGCCGCCCUCAUCACGCCUCGCUUGAGCAGCUAGAUCGCCCCGUCUGCUGUCCGACGACUCCGACCGCCUAUCGGUACACCACCUCGACACUUGGCACACCUCGUCAUGCUGUUGUCGUCGACAAGCUCCGGCGUGUGACCACGUUGUUGCGCUUGCCGCCAGCGUUGCAUCCAGGUCCGUUUGCAUCGGCCCAUGCCAAAGGCCCUACGCGAGGAGACGAGACCACCCUGCCGUCGCUGGUGCCGACUGGGCUUGGCUUGGCCGCGCCUGGUGACGAGGGAAGGGAGGGAGGAGGAGGUGGAUCCCCUGGGGCGGCGUCUGGUUUACCUCCGGUGACACAUAUGCAAUAACAUGUGUACUUAGCCACUUAUGCAAGUGAAGGAACCUGUGCUAGAUGUGGGGCAACUCAAAUUAACUGAAGCAAUACAUGUUAAUAAAAUAAACAUGACACUUAGAUCGUCAGCUUACGUGGCUGAAAUGUACCCCAAAAUCCAAUAAACACACACACAGAAGGAUGCACAACAGCACUUGGGCAGAAAUAUAACACGGUCAUUACCAUAGGGGGGGUUACAGUUCGACAAUCCGACAAUGAUCAGGCUCAACCAAAUAAUCCAAGAGCACUGAAGCUUUGAAGUAGUAAUGAAGCGAUCAAUCUAUGUCAUCUGUAAAUGAGAUAAUGGACGUGAGUAUGAGUAUAAAAAACAUCAGAUUUUUUUUUUGAAAAGGAGGAAACGAGCCCCCGGCCUCUGCAUCAAUCGAUGCAUGCAGCCAUAUUAUUAAAAAUCCAAAGUAACAAAAUAGUUCGAGAUAGGCCUGAAGGCUGAAAAAUAAGAUGGAUCUGAAACUAAACAAACUCUUAAGAAACACGCACAUCCGGCGUAACUAAUAGCAGACUACGAUGCCUAUACACCUAGUCUAUUACUAGCACGCCAUCCAAACCGGUUGAAGAUAACACGUGCGACCAUCUCCCACCGGUUGCACCCAGUAGCCAUAACCUCCCUGUUGUCUGCAAGACUGAGUGAUGACCACGUACGGAUCCAGGACGUUGCUCGGAAUAUGACCUGCAAAAAAUUGUUGAAUUUCUUACCAUUAAAUAUUAUGUCGUUUCUGGUAUUCCAUAUAGCCCACAAAAGAGCACAUAUCCCUAUUCUAAUAAGUCUAGAUAGUUUAACGUCCACUCCAUUGAGCCACGUUGUAAACAUUGAAUUGAUGCACGUAGGUGGGAUCACGUUAAAGGCUAUAUGGAUAGUGCGCCAAAGUAGUUUUGCGAGGGGGCAGUCCAAAAACAAGUGUCUGAUAGUUUCAUGUUGAUCACAAUAACAACAAUUGGAUCUACCUCUUCAACUACGCUUAAUUAAAUUAUCUUUGGUUAAUACCACACAUUUUAUAUGUAGAUGGUUCUAUGCAGGAGUAACAAACAAAAUAGAGACCACCUCUUUCCAUGAAGACCUCAGCAGGAGCAAAAAAUGACUUCCAUUUUCUCUCCAUAGUAUUUUUCUAGGUUCUUCACAAGUAUUGUUCUUGAAGAAUCAAACAUCUUCCAGGCCAGAACAAAAUCAGAAUCAGCUUCUAUCACCGGUUUCACCCUCCUUAUCUUUACCGUCUGAGUUUUGCCCGAGGUAUCAGUAUUUACCAUGGGGUAAAAGCACAUUGAAAAAGAAUCAUAAAUUAUUAAAAAAAGCACUAACAACCGAAAAGUAUCCUUAAAAUCAAAGUCUUCAUGUGGUUUGUGCACAAGAAGGUGAUUCUCACUAAGAGUAAUCUGGCUAAACGCAAUUGAGGGAGGGGGGAUACACGAUGUAGCUUCUGUGAUAAUGAGGAAAACAUUAAACAUCUUUUUCUCCAAUGUCCACUUGCGAUAAUUCUAUGACAGACAGUUCGUAUAGCCUUUAACAUUAUGCCUUCAGAUAGCAAGACACGUUGUUUGGAACGUGCCUCAAACGCAUUUGUAUAGGAGUAUGUGCACUUCUUUAGAGUAUAUGGAACACAUAUAAAUUGUUUGCAGGUAUUACACAGAGCAUCGGCGUUGAUCCGUACAUGAUUAUUACUCACUCCUACAGAAACCAAGGAAUUGUGAUGCACCUUUUUGCGGAAACCGGAGACCCAUCACAUAUCUGUACAUGAUCAUCACUCACUUAUGGUUCUAGAUAUGUGAUGCACCUUCUUGUUCAAGAGGAUGGUACUAUAAAGCAGAGGCAGACAACUAACACGGUCAUUACCACAGGGGGGAUACAGUUUGACAAUUCGACAAUGGUCAGGCUCAACCAAAUAAUCCAAGAGAGCUGAAGCUUUGAAGUGGUAUUGAAGCGAACAAUAUGUCAUCUGUAAAUCAGAUACUCGGACAUGGGUACAAAAGCAUCCAACGACUAUAUGCAGGAAUAACAAACAAAAACAGAGACCACCCCACUCCGCCAGUCGAUGGACGAACCUAGAAUUCAUACAUGUGCAUGAUUAGUUCGAGUACAAUGCACCUAGAAUACACACGUGUGCGUGACUUGUUCCAGUACAUACACGGUAAUAUAGAUUGAUACAUUCAUGAUAACACUUUUGCUUCGGUACAACCCCCUCCCCACAAAACGUAUAAAGGAGAAUGUAUAUCCACCUCGUAUUGUACAUUAUAGGCCGCCGUACGUAUAUCCACCUCAUAUAGUAUACGUAUGACGGCCUAUACUGUAUAAUACAAGGUGGGUAUACAUUCUCCUUUAUACGUUUUGUGGGGGAGGGGGUUGUACCGGAGCACACCUCUCAUGAUAAAUCUCCAGAGUAUAUCAAAUUACAUGUCUAGAGCAAGCCAACAAGCAAUGCUGGUUCUAGUACAACACAAAAAACAGCAUACCAAUCUCAAUCGAUGGCAUGCACCUUGAAUACAUACAUAUCCUGACUAGGUCUAGUACAAUACUCGAACAUCCAUUGGUACAUUCAUGAAAAAUCUCCAAAGCGUUUAUUAAAGUACAUGAGAGCAAACAAAGAGCCAGUGCUGGUGAUCUCAUCUCAGCUUCUACCCAUUAAUUCUACCUCUAAAGGAAGCCCAGGUAACAGCCACUUGCACAUAAACAUGGUCAUACAAAUUGUCGCACAGCGAGUACCAAGCAGCUCUCCAUCUCCUCUUGAACAAGAAGGUGCAAAAGACCACCCACAGACCCAUCACAUAUCCAGACCCGGUGGCGAGGGAAAACGAAACCAUGUCGCUCAUUGCAUCCCCCUUGCGCUCUCUGGUAGUUGGAACUUGCUCGGGAUGUGAACAAUUCCAUGAGAGAGGAGAACCGCAAAGGCCCGGGUUGCCGAUAUAAAUAGAUGCAGGGUCCUCAAGUGUUUGCAGUUGAUUUCCUGUCGGUAUCUUUCCUCUCAGAUUGUUGUAGGACAGGUUCAAGCGACUCAGUGAUGUGAGAGUCGAUAAGCUUGAAGGGAUUUCACCGGACAAAUCAUUGUGCGAUAGGUCAAGUGACUCCACCUGCAUUAAGGCGCCGAUAUUCUCAGGGAUUUUUCCAUUGAAUUUGUUCCAUGAUAAGUUUAGGCUCUUCAAUGCUACAAGAGCGCUGAUUUCUUCGGGAAUCUCUCCCAUAAGACUAUUACAAGAAAAAUCAAGAUUCACCAUAUAUAUGAUUUCUCCUGUAUAUAAUCUCUCUUGACCUUUCGUCAGUACUGUUAAAUUCUCGGUAUAGUCAACUAGGUAAUUGCCAGCCGAAUAUACUCCAGCAGAGAAUGCAUCCCGAAGAUCAUCAUUGUCUCUUCUUUGUGUCAUGCCUGUACAGUUAACAAUAGAUCUCGGUACGCUCCCUGAUAAGUUAUUGUAGGCAAGGUCCAGAUAUUGAAGAUCAACAAGCUUCGUAAGCUCGACUGGAAUUUGACCAUGAAACAUAUUGGAUCUCAGUCGUAAGAAUGACAAAGAUGAUAGCUUCUCCCCAAUCCAUCCUGGUAAAGUCCCAGAGAACUGAUUAUUGCUGAGAUCAAGAAAGAUGAGCUGUGUACAUUUCUGCAGCAGCAAAGGAAAAUCACCCGAGAGGUUGUUGUCUCUUAAGCUUAGAUUAACAAUGCUCAGGUCUGUCAUGUUUGUGCUGGACUCAUUGACUAGGCAAUCGCUAAUUGAUCCCUUGAGGUUAUUUUUUGAUAUAUCUAACAAGCGCAAUGAUUGCAACUUGCACAAAGAAGAUGGAAUGGCCCCAGAUAUCAUGUUGUCAUAUAGUAAAAGUGUUGCAAGCCCUGGAGCUCCAAAGUCUAAUGGUAGUGGCCCAACUAGAUUGUUCCGACUGAGAUCCAGGUCGGUUAGAUUGAUGGGAAGUUUAGGUAUUAGACCACCAAGCAGGUUAGAACUGAAAUCCAUUUCUCUUGUUCUCAUAAAUUCCAUUGUUGAUGGAAGCACUCCUGUAAUCUGAUUAUUUCGAAUGUUCAGAGAGCCUACCGAGGAAGCUGCUAUCCAAAACCAAUCCGGUACCAUGUCAUUUAUGCUUGUGUUUGAUAUAUCAAGACUACUUGCAUGUUUUUGCCAUCUAAGCCACAUUGGGAAUUUAGGCCCUAGCUGACAGGACCGAAGUUCAAUUAUUACUAGACUGAAAGGAGGAACCCAAGUUGGGCUCACCGUGAUGGCUAUGGAGUUGUCUGAUAAUCUCAAUUCCUCCAACAUCUCUAGACGUGAUAAAUGGCCUUCAUGUAUAACCCCGUCCAGGUUAUUAGAGUCAAGCCCCAAGUCUGUCAGUUGUGUGAGCUCUCCUAUCCACACCGGGACAUGACCAGUCAGUUUGUUAUCACUGAGAUACAGCACGCUUAGGUUUUUCAAGGGCUCUAGUAGUGUAGUCGGUAGGCUUCCAGUCAGAUUGCUUUCCGGUAGAAACAAGUCUUUUAGUUUAUUUUGUGAACAGUUUGGUAAUCGAUGGAACAACUCUGCUAUACUCCCGUUGAUAUUGUUCCCCAAAGAAACCAAUCCCUCCAAAUUACAUAGGUUCUUUAAGUUGGAUGAUAUCAUGCCCACAAGGUUGUUUUUUGACAAAUCAAGCUCCACAAUCGAGGUCAUAUUACCUAUCUCGUCCGGAAACGGGCCAUAGAAACCAUUAAACGAGAUAUCUAGAUAUUUUAGGCUAGUUAAAUCCCAAAACCAGUUUGGUGUGCUACUCCUAUGGAAGUCGUUGUCUGAAAGGUUGAGUGUUUCAAGAGAUGUCAGAUUUGAGAACUGAAUAGAAUCAGGGCUACUUCUAAGUUGGCAACCGACAAGACGGAGAGCUUUCAGAGUUGGAAGCAUGUUCACAACCGGAAGCCAGUGAACAAUUGUACUGAGGUUCACCUGAGACAUAUCUAGGUGUUCAAGGGAAGUUAACCGUGACAACCAGCUGAUAUCAGUGGAAUAUGUGUCUGAGUAGGACUCAAGAUUUAGGUACCGUAAGUUGGAGAGAUUACCCAGCUGCGGUGGUAUCCUUCCAAUGAACUGUGAGCUUGAUAGGUCGAGAUAUCUCAGCUGAUGGAGAGAACCCAUGAACUCCGGUAUUUGUAUCUUGUCAAACCCGUUGUCGCUGAGAUCGAGAUAGCGUAGAUGUUGUAAACCAAGCAAGGAGGAGCUUAUGUUGCCUGCUAGCGCCUGCCUGUAAUC
Molecule: long non-coding RNA, 8043 nt
Filed under: Hordeum vulgare
Lineage: Eukaryota; Viridiplantae; Streptophyta; Magnoliopsida; Poales; Poaceae
Description: long non-coding RNA (HVUL_LNC014668)
Source: RNAcentral